Dermochelys coriacea (leatherback sea turtle) is the source of this 7040-nucleotide long non-coding RNA. RefSeq lists it as uncharacterized. NCBI's taxonomy places the organism in Eukaryota, Metazoa, Chordata, Testudines, Dermochelyidae. The transcript is spliced from 3 exons. The record is from RefSeq and is a predicted model, not a curated record.
CACAUAGCACAAGAUCCAGGGGUCACCCAAUGAACGUAAUAGGCAGCAGGUUUAAAACAAGCAAAAGGAAGUACUUCACACAAUGCACAGUCAACCUAUGGAACUCAUUGCAGGGGAUGUUGUGAAGGCCAAAAAUGUAACUGGGUUCAAAAAAGAAUUAGAUAUGUUUAUGGAGAACAGGUCCAUCACUGGCCAUUAGCCAGGAUGGUCAGAGAUGCAACCCCAUUACAGGGGUGUCCCUAACCCUCUGACCGCCUGAUGCUGGGAUUGGACAACAGGGUGGAUCUCUUGAUGAUUGCCUUUUCAUUCCCUCUGAAGCAUCUGACACUUGCCACAGUCAGAGACAGGAUACUGGGCUAGAUGGGCUAUUGGUCUGACCCAGUAAGGCCGUUUUUAGGUUCUAAGGACAUCUGUGGCAGCCCUACCACCGGAGGCAGUCUAGGUUUUUUGUGUUUUGUUUUGUUUUUUAACUGGGCAAAGCAAUCGUGAUGUAACAUUGGGACAAACUUGCAUUGGCAGAGGAUGGACUAGAUGGGCUGGAAAGUCCCUUCCAUCCAAAUCUGUACAUCUUCAUUGUGCCUGUUUUCUACUCAGAACCUCCAUUAAUAGUAAUAGGAGUUGCACACAUGAACCUAGAGCUCAGUAUGAACAUACAAUCUGCUCUCCCUCAGCCUAGAACAUGGUCAGCAAACUUUGUGUAUAUUUUCUGAAAGAACAUUUCUGUUUCCCUUAAGAUCCUUUUAUUGCCAUAGGCAAAUUGUUUGCUGUGUGAGUACAAGAUAUUACAGGUAACUUUUUAAAGUGAGAGCUGCUCUUUUAAGGGGAAGUCAACUAGCAGCUCUUUGAAAUGUUGGUGGAUGUGCUUCACCAAUUGCAUACAGAUGUAUAGUGUUUUUCUCAUUCUUAAUUUCCCUCUCUCCAUAGUUGGAAGCAUAGUAGGCAAUACAUGAGACUGGGCUGGCAAAGGAGGACUUUAACUUCCCUUCCAAGGGGAAAAAGGAACAGCUUUCUGUUCCUAUUGAAAUGAGAAUUCCUACAGUAAACCACACCAUGUUGCCUAGCACUCUGAGUAUGAAUUAUAGUCACUACCCUUUUACCUUUUUUUUUUUAAAUACCUUCCAAUUUUCAGUAGUGUUAUGGAACACUCAAACACCAGUUGAGUGUCUUCAUCCAAGCUUUCAUGUGACUUAUUCCCCUUCAGACAGGAAAUAUGCAUGAAAAUUGAUCAUCCAACAGUAUAUAUAGAAAUGUAAAGGGAGAUAAUUUGUAGGUAUUGAUGUCAAACCACCUAAUAAGAAAAUUUUCACAACUGCUAAUCCAUGCUGGACAAGGACUGAAAUAACCAACUCUUGUAGGUAGUUGUAGGCACCACAAAAACACAGGAAUGCAGCAAGUAAUAUAAAAACUGCCUUAUGUAUAAAGUGCAUUGAAUGUUCUUUGGAUAAACAUAUAACCUGAAGAUGACAGGGGACCAAGAGAUUCACUAACUGGGGGCUUUCCUUCCUGCCACUACAUGAACUUUAAAUGCUUAUAAAAGAAACAACCAUAAAGGAAGGCUGUGAGCAGGAAAAAAAUGUUUGAGUUGGUGAUGUGAUUGCUCUAUAAAAGGUGCAUCCUCACUUCUGUCACCAGCAUGUGAUGUGUUUUAAAGCCUGUCAGUUACCAAAAUUUCAUACCUCUGUUUGAACUUUAUUUUAGCUAGUUGACUGUCUAGGAAGCAAGAAUUCUGAAGUAGGCGUAAGGGCAAGGACAGGGAAGGGAGAUUGUCAGCACUUGUUUUGCUGUGUUCCAUAUUGGUUGGCUUGGAAGAACAAUGGAACUCUGAUUAAAUUUGUGCUUGAACAGAAUCCACUAGUCACUAUUUUCCCCCAUCUGUCUGACUGACUUUCCCUGCAUCUCGCUUGGCUAGAUGCCAAGUAAGUAGGCAUUGACAGGACCAACUGAUGCCAGUUCUCAAUUGUUUCAUACCCCUUGGUAUUUUGACCUCUUGUCCGAUGACGGGAGGAAAGAGGAGUCUGUGUGUGAAGUGACAUCCCAGUUCUACUUCUCUGAGCCACCAGCACUAGCCAUAUUCUGUUUGGUGGUGGUUAUCCUAGAUUAUUACUGUAAGUAGUAUUGUAGAUAUGACUACGAUCAUACUCGCCCCACCAAGUCUGGUUGAAGUAAAAAUCUUGUGCUGCACUGUGAGAAUUGACCAGACCUAAUCUGUAGAAAAUAGGAUAUAUACACCAAUUUACUACACACUAGGUGUGACUGGCACAUUAGAUCUAGCCUGGCAAGAAAAGAUAGACAAAAGAGGUGGAGCAGAAAAAAGACAACUGUUUCCUGCUUAUCGCCACUUGUCUCGAUUUUGUUUGUUUUACUAUUGUUUUGUGUGUUGAUGUAUUUGAUAAAUUAAUGUUUAGGAGUAUACCGGGCACAGGAGAGGAUAGCAGUGGAGAAGGAGGAGGAUGACGGUAAAAGGCUAGCCAGAAGAGCAGUAUCCUAAGGAAGGAUCUGGUGCUCAGGAGUGUGACUGUUAUUCCGGAUGUAAGGGGGAGUGUGAAAAAGCAACGGGAGAGACCUAGGGGUUCUGGGACGGGGUGCUGAUGAUGGAAACCAUGUAUUUGGUGUUUGUAUUACUGCUUCAAGCCAGGGAGUGUGGUAGCACCCAUAGUUCCCACACCACCGGAGAGACCAGAGGUUUAUUAAGAUCAGGUGAGUUUGAAAGGCAUAGUACGCAAAAUGGGGGGUAUGUGGAAGGAAGGGCUGAGAUGUGGCAGGAGCAGAGCUGUACAUAGCCUUGAGGUGUAGCUAGACAGGAAGGGAUUGAAGAGAUUAGAGCAGAGGGAUCCUGGCAGAGUCGACACACUAGGGAAGGAAGAUCUGUUUAGCUGUAGCAUUUUGAGUGGAUUGCAGUUGAGUGGUGGGAAAGGUGGAGAGAGGAGGAACUUCCAUUACUCCAUUUGAGAGAACCAGGUCAUGACAUGUUCCAGCAGAAUGGGUGGACUUUGGAUGGAAGCCUGCAUCUGUUUUUUCACUCUGUUUUCUAUAGCUUGGUUGCAUUGGCCAUGGUGGUUUCUUAAAGUUUGUCCUAUGUUCACUUCAGCUACUGCAUAUCAGGUAGCUUUAUAUAUCAUAUAGACAUGUCAUCUGUGUUGACUCUGUUUCCUAAUGUAUAAUUGUGCAUUGUUUGCAUAGUUAUGAAUGUGGUUAAAGUAAGAUAAAUACAGUGUACGUGAUGGGGAAAGAUUAUCAAGGGAGGAAGAAAGAAAAAUUACUUGCUCACCUCCUUCCUUCUCAAUAUUUUAUUUAUAAAAUGCUUUUUAGCAUGUCUAAAAACUUCAUUAAGGGCUUGUCUACAUGGGCCACUCAAAAAUUAAUCUGAGCCAACUAAAGGUUUGAAUUUAAAGUGAAUUAGUUAAACUGCAUUAAACCCCUGUGUGGACAUUCUUGUUCAGAAUUGAAGUGGCCUUAAUUUGGUUUAGCAUAAUUCACUUCUUUCUAAAUUUCUUUGCCAGGGAAGUUAUUUGCAUCACGUGACUUUAGAUGCAAUUUUGCAAUGCAUUUGGUGGAGCCAUUUAUUGUGAGAACUAUGUGUUUGUUUAUCCAGCAUGGUUAAGCCCAGGCUAGCUUAAUAAACAAAAUGUCUAGAACAAAAAGCAGAAAGAAACAUAAAAUGAAACCAUUAGGGAAACACUGUGAAUUAUGUAAAAUCUAUUCAGAAUAGGAUUAGCCAUGUGAUUCUGUGCCACUUGUCAUGGUAUAGUGUAUAAGAAUCAGCUAGAAAGUAAAGACACAGCUCUAUUUCUUGUUUCCCAUCCCAGAGAACCUAGCAUUUUCGGAAACACUGUCAAUGAGCUAGGAGACACAACUCCAAAAUAUUCUGCAAAGACUCUUAUGGUUCUCACGCUCACUUUCACACUUCUUAACCAAAUGAAUGAAACACAAGGUUCUGGUGUUUGUGCCAUUUGCAUCAGGACACCAACAUCUGAUAUUCCUACACCUCCCAAGACAACUUUAGUAUAAAAUAUAUGAUCCACGCCAACCAGAAGUAUUUCAAGGUAUAUUGCAGAUGCUGGUAUCAGGAAAUGCUAUUGCAAUUAAAAAGACUCCCUAUAGUUACACAGUGCCUUCUGUUUUACAUCACACACCGAUCAUUGAUGAACAAUGUGUAUCCAGGAGUCAUCUGGAUACAGUAAAAAUGAGCCUGCAUCAGAACUUCCUUCCAAAUGAGUAACUGGGACUAAUGGAUGUAGCCAGCUUUGCUGACAAUAAAUUAGUCAACAGAAUAGGACAUCUGGUGAUUUGAAUAUCUAAUGAUUUGAAAAUGGCUUAUUCUAUCAGCAUGGAGUUGACCAUCUCAGGAGGUGAGGGAGAAAAUAGUGACAUAAUUCAACCUCAGCUGUGAAUCCAUCUCUGAAAUUGACACUGGUACAAUAAGUUAUGGGGUCCUCCAACUCUUACUUGGAAUUGUUGGUGUAUGUUUACAGUUCACUGGGUGGCUUACCUGAUAAAACCCCAGCAGUGCCUUGCUAUGUCUUGAGCCUGGCAAAAUUCCUCAAGUGUGCAUCAGUUGGAAUACUUGCCUUGUCCUCAGGCAGAUUUAAUGAAAUACCCAGCCAACCUUGAAUACAGCUCUAUCUUUCCUUACGACACAACUAUUCAAGCUGUUGGUCAGUAUUUGGACAAGGAUUUCAGAUUUAGCCAGGUUUUGCCUUGAACUUCAUGCACUAAGUGAGCACAUAGAAUGACAGUCCAUGGCUUCACUGAAACUAGAAUCACCUGCUCCACUCCACGACACGGUUCUGAAAACCCUGGCAGGGGUGCUGGUUGUGACAUCACACUCAGAAGAUGCUGAGAGAUGCAAGAGUGCUAAUGAUCUGCUGAAAACAUUUGAGGACUAUUGAUGAAGAUGAUGUCUUUCAAGGUACAGCUGGAGAAUCACAAAAAGGUUGCUGAAAAAUAGUUUGACAGUCAACCUCCUAUACAUGGAGAAAGAAGGCAAUAGCUGGAGUGCAGCCAUAAUUAAUAGUGUUCAUUUGAUCAUUUUCUGGCAGUAAGCAGUAGAGAAGUCCUCGAAACAUUAACAUGAAUCUGUCACGACUUUACAAGAUAUAGCCUGCAUGUGUGGGGUUUAUUUUUUUGAGAGCCGAAUAAUAUUAUGUCCACCUCUAUGGGUAUAAUCUAGAAGAAGCAGCUGUGCCCAAGAGUGAUGUAGUUGAUAGAGAGCAAGAAACAUGCACACACCAAGGUAGAACCAUACUUCUCAACAUCUAAAAAGAGCUGUAUCACAGCUGACAAUAAGCAUUUCUCCAAGUUCUGAUACAUUAUACAUUCAGGUAAACAGAGGUAGCAAAACCAUCUGCAUUAGUGCCAUUUAGUGGCUUCCAGUAAUGUGUUAUAGUCUGUUGUUUGUUGGGGAAGUAUAAUCAAUUGUAAAUUGGAGUGAAGCGUCUGCAAAGUAAAUCUGUUGUCAGUUACUUAGAACAGUCUAGUUUGCUUGAAAACACCAUUUUCUCAAAAUAUGGGCUUAAAUAACAUUUUUUUAAAUCAUCCUGUCCUCUAGAUAUGUCCUCAGUUCAUGUUGUUGCUUUUCAAUUGGCUAUAUUCUGACUGCUAUAAAAUAAACCAAUAGUUUUGACAAAAUUAACAAUAUAAAAGAAUCAAAAAAGUUAAAAGAACUCUGGUUCAUGCCAUUAUUUUUAGUGGGGGAUUUUGCUGCAUCACUGAUUUUAAAACCUACCAUUCAGGUGUCAUGUAUAUUUUAAUAUAUUGAUAACACACAGACUCAAAUUUCACUUGAGAUAAAGUUAAGCAAACAAAAAGCCAUUAAAUAUUUCUGCACUGGUUACAAAUCAGAGUUUUGUUUUGCAACUAGGUGUUCCAACCCCAAAAACAAAAAGUCACUUAGUGACAUUACUGAUACUUUUAAAAUAAAAUAUAAAAAACUAACCCACCACCACACACACACCCUUAUGACUUAUUCAUACUUGCUUUUUGUCCUUAAAAAUUCCCCACUUGAGCCAAUCUUUGCCAUUUGACCUGUUCCAUAUUGAGAUUUCCAAAUUAAAAGAAACAUCGGUAUCUCUGUUUCAGGAAUAGGUGCUGAUUUGGUGCAAACACUGCAGGAAGUUGUAUGAAAUUAAAAACUAAUUCAGUUCACAGGGAGACCAGAUUGUCUUGCACCAUAAUCGUUACUGUGAUAGUUGAUCUAUUGUUAACCUUAUAAUUCCGAGAAAAGAAAGCCCUUUCUGUCACCCCACCAUGCAAACUCCAAAUACUUGUUUCAGUGAGUAAUGACGGUGAACUGCUGAGGGCUAAACCCCCCUCCUUUGAAAAACUGCUGGGAUUUUAAAGAACUGAGGAAGUUUAACAUGAGAUUAGGCUUCGGUUUUGUUUGUCUUGGGCAGGCAUAAGUGCCAGCUGGAGUUGGGGGAUCUUACAGAUCACCUUUUACAAAAAAAUUGCUUUUGUGGCUUUCUGUGUUGAGUUCUCCCCCUGGUUUAGUGGCAUACCCUGGCCUGCCUGCCCCUUUUAGGUUAGAUAUUAUUAUUAGAUAUUAUACACAGUUAUUAUGUAUAGAGUUAUUAUGUAUACAGUUAUGUAUACAGGCAUCUGCAUUUUUUACCACAUCAAAAUUUAUUUUUAAUUUCCCAAAGUGACCCUGUCCCUAGAGUUGGAGGGUGACUAGAACCCACUUGGGUCUUGCAUGGGCUGAGAGAAAGCAAAGUUUAUUAUUUCAGAGGCUUCCGGAAGAGUCUAAUAAUGGAGAGGCCAAGGAACUUGGUGCAAAGUUAUUCUUUGCAUUCCUUUCCCAUCUUUGUCUUGCACAGAGGGGAUUUCUGUUAGAAAGGGUCAGUGGAGUGUGGUGGUAUGCACCCUGUCAUUCAAAGCCUUUGCCACUUGAGGGAAUGAGACUAACAUAAGAACUGAAUCACUUGCCACCGCUGAGCUCAAAAUGACCAAUUCUCCACGGCUUUUAUAGUUCAGAAAAUAGAAUGCUUCAUUGGUCAGUGAGGAGAAGAUCAGCUUAAUAGCUUUGCUUUUUUAUUUGUCUU